Cyanistes caeruleus (blue tit) is the source of this 2867-nucleotide non-coding RNA. Lineage: Eukaryota; Metazoa; Chordata; Aves; Passeriformes; Paridae. The record is from RefSeq and is a predicted model, not a curated record.
ACUGACCAGACUUCUGCUUGUAACCACUGUUUGCUUUUCCUGACAGAUCCUACUGUCCUGCCUAUGGAAAUGGCUUGCUACAGUAAUGUGUAGGAUCAGCCUGGUCCUGGGCCCCCCUCUAACUGUGCUGCUCUACUUCCAGGACUACUGUAUCAUCCUCUGCUAGAAAGACUUGGCUUAGAGACUGUUCUUCCUGCCCAGAACCUAACUGCCCUCUACUUUCUGCCUUCCUUUCUGCACAAAACAUAGCAAUACAACCCCAGGUUUGAAAUACUCUUCUCCUUAAUAUGGGAGAGUCUACAUAGGCUGUAAAACUUCCAACUUGCUACAGAAAGAAAAAUGAAGAAUUUCAGGUUGUUGUCUGUCCAUGGUGAAGAUGUUUGUCCUGGAAAAGCUCUUUGUACCAUUGUUAUGACAGUGGACAAAGGCCCCCUCAGACACUUCCUCUUCUGCCUUAGCUUUCUUAAUACUCCAUCUCUUUUGAUCUGAUAUCCUCUUCUUAUCAGGAAGGAGGGAUUUCAUGUAGGACUGGACUAAAAAGAAUUUUAAUGGUCCACUGAUUCCAGUGUCCUACAAAAGGUAGCAAGUCACUUUACAAAAUGUCUCUUGGUGCCCUCUCCAUGACCAGGACACUCCAUGGAAACUCCAGACAAAUGACUCCAGUGAGCUGCACAGGGCAUGCAUUGGAGCACCACGGGUCACACCAGGAACAGUGCCCUGCCACCGCUGCUGCAGGCAGCACCCUUGAGAGCCUCCAUGUGUGCUUCAAUCCAAAAGCAAGGUUCCCAUCCAGAGGUGCAUUCCAGGAGCUGGAUAAGUAAGCUGCAGAGCAGAUCUCCUGUGCAAUCUCUCUGCCUGCCUGGAGUCAUUCCCUGCUGGUCACAUGGUCCCUGGCCACCUUUGCUGAGGAUGGCAAACACCCAUGCCUCUGUGUGGUAGAUGGGUUUGCUCAUGUGUGCUCAACAUCUGCUGAAAGAAACUCAACCAAGACAAACAUGCAGGUGGCCUCGUUCUGCUGGUACCUGACCCAUCCAGGCCAUGCAUGCCUUUGCCAUGGGAGUCUCUGCUCCAGCUGCUGCCUCCAGCACAGAACCAACAACAUCCAUCACAGCACUGGAAGUCUUCCAGGAUUACUCACAGGUGGUUCAAAUUUUGUCUUGGAGUCAAAACUUGCCUUGAGAUUUGUCUCCAAGGCAAGUUUUAAACCAUCUGUGAGUAACACUGUGAGACUUGAAGGCACCAGUGGCCAAAAACUGUUUUCUUGCAGAGUUCCUCAGUGAAGACAAGGUGCAUCAUUCCUGCCAGGCACCUGGCCAGGAGAGCUGUCACCAGGAGUCAAGACCUCAGUGCUAACGCCAGCAGCAAGGGGAGCAGCGUGGUCCGGAAACACAAGAGGAGAAGCACAAGAUGCCAUGGAAAUGACAUAAGAACUUGUCUUUGCACAACAGGGAACCAGGCUUGGGAAGCAGCCUUCAAACAUCUCACUGUGCUUUGGUAACACAAACUCUACUCAGAGACUCCACACUAGUGACGUUGCAAGUACCACACAGCAUUUGUUUUUCUGGGUGGUAAAUUGAAUGGAUGUGUCCUGAAGGCUGUGAGGGUUGUGCUGUACAGACUGGUUUGGCUGGGUUGGUGCUUUACUGUGGUUGAUAGAUUUUUAUCAGAUGCUUUUACUUGUUAAAUUUUCCUUGGUUGUGGGAACAAUCCAGCAAAUAGUAAAAAUGAUGGAGCACCAGGAGACAUGCAGCCAAGGAGAUCAUUUGUUUGGCUGGAUCCCUUCCUGCACAAGGGAGCCUUUGUGUGAGCUCACAGAAGAGCCGUGUUCGUCUUGCUGUGGGCAGAACUGGCAGCAGGCUUCAGGCUUUGUCUCCAUGCAGAGUCAGGCUGGCUUGGUUCUCCACGGAGCCGAAAACUCAUUAUUUCCGAGGUUAUGGCCAGGCUGCUGGGAGGCUACAAUUCCUUGUGAGAAGUGCCUGUCUCCCAGCAGCAUUGGCAAGGAGGCAGCCAGGCCUUUGGACAAAGGAAGAGGUUUGUGCUGGUCUCAUAAAGGAAUCUCAUGCUGCCUGUGAGAGCUGCCAUGGGGGUCGUGCUUCUUUGGCAGUGCUGACCUCCUCGGAGAGCUGCAAAACUGGGCGAACCCAUGGUUUGUGGGUCAAGGACAUGGGCUGGUCAUGGUUCCACCAGUACCUGGUCUCCAAGGUGAACUGCUCUGGUAGAGGUACAUAUGCAGAACUGGAAACUGAUCAGUACAAAUGCAUCUGUGGAGGAUUGGCUGCAGUGACAGGGGGCGAUGGCAAAGGGACAGCUCUCCCAGGGGUCUCCUGGGGUGCAAGUCACUCCUGCUCCUGCAGCACCAGCUCCUGAUUAGGCACUGCCUCCAGGCUCCUCCUCACCAACUGUGCCAGACAGGACUCAGUCCAGCUGCUGGGUGGUGAAGACUCCGGAGGAGUGCAGGCAAACACUGGCCCCCUGCUCACACCUGAGGUGCAUCUACACCAUGGUGGAGGUUCCACUGUCUGUGACAUGGCAAUCUUCCUCUUACAGACUCUGCUUUGUCACAAUCUGGCUGUAAAACCGGGGGAACACUGGCACCAGUCCUGAAGGCAGCUGUCCCCGCAGGCAUGCCUAGUUUUAGGAGAUUUGUGAGGGUGUGGAGAAUCAUUUGUGCAGGGAUGAGCAUCCUUCAUUGCAGGAUCUUCAUCACAUACAGCACUCGAUACCAGAAAUUGAGUGUUUUGGGAUGAAAAAGAGGGAACAGCAUUCAUGGGGCAUAGCCUGGAGUUCCUCUUUGCAGGCAAGGUGGGAUGGGGAUCCAAUGAACAAGCUGAACAUGAGGGCAUGAAUUAAAAGCUGUCUUCAAAGCA